UACGUAGGGUGCAAGCGUUGUCCGGAAUUAUUGGGCGUAAAGAGCUCGUAGGCGGUUUGUCGCGUCGAAUGUGAAAACCCGAGGCUCAACCUCGGGCCUGCAGUGGGUACGGGCAGACUAGAGUGCGGUAGGGGAGACUGGAAUUCCUGGUGUAGCGGUGAAAUGCGCAGAUAUCAGGAGGAACACCGGUGGCGAAGGCGGGUCUCUGGGCCGUAACUGACGCUGAGGAGCGAAAGCAUGGGGAGCGAACAGG
This 253-nucleotide ribosomal RNA is filed under the name uncultured bacterium. RNAcentral describes it as "partial 16S ribosomal RNA". It matches the Rfam family "Bacterial small subunit ribosomal RNA", at positions 524 to 776 of the family's 1533-position model. The record is from RNAcentral.